This 502-nucleotide ribosomal RNA is filed under the name uncultured bacterium. Its description in RNAcentral is "bacterial SSU rRNA". It matches the Rfam family "Bacterial small subunit ribosomal RNA", at positions 335 to 834 of the family's 1533-position model. The record is from RNAcentral.
ACUCCUACGGGAGGCAGCAGUGGGGAAUAUUGCACAAUGGGGGAAACCCUGAUGCAGCCAUGCCGCGUGUGUGAAGAAGGCCUUCGGGUUGUAAAGCACUUUCAGUAGGGAGGAAGGUAGUGUAGUUAACACCUGCACUAUUUGACGUUACCUACAGAAGAAGCACCGGCUAACUCCGUGCCAGCAGCCGCGGUAAUACGGAGGGUGCGAGCGUUAAUCGGAAUUACUGGGCGUAAAGCGCAUGCAGGCGGCCUGUUAAGUCAGAUGUGAAAGCCCGGGGCUUAACCUCGGAAUUGCAUUUGAAACUGGCAGGCUAGAGUCUUGUAGAGGGGGGUAGAAUUUCAGGUGUAGCGGUGAAAUGCGUAAAGAUCUGAAGGAAUACCAGUGGCGAAGGCGGCCCCCUGGACAAAGACUGACGCUCAGAUGCGAAAGCGUGGGGAGCAAACAGGAUUAGAUACCCUGGUAGCACAGGAGUCGUGGGAACAAGGCACACAGGGGGAUA